RNAcentral lists this long non-coding RNA (361 nucleotides) under Pelobates cultripes (western spadefoot toad). Lineage: Eukaryota; Metazoa; Chordata; Amphibia; Anura; Pelobatidae. The record is from RNAcentral.
UACCGAAACGUGCGGAUUUUUCCCGAUUGGAUUGCUAUCACUUUGUGGAACGUUUCGCCGAAUGGUUCACGGAAUAUUGUCGUUCUUGUGGCGAAAUUGGUCCCGUGGGAAUGAAUGGCAAAAUGUUCAAAACUAGAGUGGGUGCUGGCAAAAGCUGAAAAAUCAGGACAUGAUUUCUAAACUGCCACCACUCCCUCAUUUUCAAGCCCACCUACACAAAUCUUAUAUCAAAACGUUCAGCUAUCCCUGCUGCCACUAAACAUGUCCACGGCUAAGCCAUAGUCUUGAUAGUUUUCACAAUAUGACCAUUUGUUUGCAACUCAUGCCGUCCAUUGACAUUCAUUGAAACUCCACUCUAGCC